GACAGAGGCCUCGAGCGUUAGGCGGAAUCACUGGGCUUAAAGCGUGUGUAGGCGGGCCCGUAAGUGUCUUGUGAAAUCCCACGGCUCAACCGUGGAACUGCUGGGCAUACUGCGGGUCUUGGGCCAACUAGGGGCAGCCGGAACAAGCGGUGGAGCGGUGAAAUGCGUAGAUAUCGGGAGGAACACCAGUGGCGCAAGCGGCUGACUGGCCGAGACCUGACGCUGAGACGCGACGGCGUGGGGAGCAAACCGG
RNAcentral lists this ribosomal RNA (253 nucleotides) under uncultured bacterium. RNAcentral's name for it is "partial 16S ribosomal RNA". It matches the Rfam family "Bacterial small subunit ribosomal RNA", at positions 524 to 776 of the family's 1533-position model. The record is from RNAcentral.